AGAUAUAAAUUUCCAUGAAGAG
This 22-nucleotide small nuclear RNA is filed under the name Arabidopsis thaliana (thale cress). RNAcentral's name for it is "snRNA_07307". Lineage: Eukaryota; Viridiplantae; Streptophyta; Magnoliopsida; Brassicales; Brassicaceae. The record is from RNAcentral.